This 465-nucleotide ribosomal RNA is filed under the name Vreelandella stevensii. RNAcentral describes it as "partial 16S ribosomal RNA". It matches the Rfam family "Bacterial small subunit ribosomal RNA", at positions 338 to 795 of the family's 1533-position model. Lineage: Bacteria; Pseudomonadati; Pseudomonadota; Gammaproteobacteria; Oceanospirillales; Halomonadaceae. The record is from RNAcentral.
CCUACGGGAGGCAGCAGUGGGGAAUAUUGGACAAUGGGGGCAACCCUGAUCCAGCCAUGCCGCGUGUGUGAAGGAGGCCCUCGGGUUGUAAAGCACUUUCAGUGAGGAAGAACGCCUGGUGGUUAAUACCCAUCAGGAAAGACAUCACUCACAGAAGAAGCACCGGCUAACUCCGUGCCAGCAGCCGCGGUAAUACGGAGGGUGCGAGCGUUAAUCGGAAUUACUGGGCGUAAAGCGCGCGUAGGUGGCUUGAUAAGCCGGUUGUGAAAGCCCCGGGCUCAACCUGGGAACGGCAUCCGGAACUGUCAAGCUAGAGUGCAGGAGAGGAAGGUAGAAUUCCCGGUGUAGCGGUGAAAUGCGUAGAGAUCGGGAGGAAUACCAGUGGCGAAGGCGGCCUUCUGGACUGACACUGACACUGAGGUGCGAAAGCGUGGGUAGCAAACAGGAUUAGAUACCCUGGUAGUC